UGGGGAAUAUUGGACAAUGGGCGAAAGCCUGAUCCAGCAAUACCGCGUGAAUGAUGAAGGCCUUAGGGUUGUAAAGUUCUUUUAGUUGGGAAGAUAAUGACGGUACCAACAGAAAAAGCCCCGGCUAACUCCGUGCCAGCAGCCGCGGUAAGACGGAGGGGGCUAGCGUUGUUCGGAAUUACUGGGCGUAAAGGGCGCGUAGGCGGAUUAGUAAGUUGGGAGUGAAAGCCCGGGGCUUAACCUCGGAACUGCUUUCAAAACUGCUAGUCUAGAGUGAAGUAGGGGGUGAUGGAAUUCCUAGUGUAGAGGUGAAAUUCUUAGAUAUUAGGAGGAACACCGGUGGCGAAGGCGGUCACCUGGACUUCAACUGACGCUGAGGCGCGAAAGCGUGGGGAGCAAACAG
This 403-nucleotide ribosomal RNA is filed under the name uncultured bacterium. Its description in RNAcentral is "bacterial SSU rRNA". It matches the Rfam family "Bacterial small subunit ribosomal RNA", at positions 355 to 775 of the family's 1533-position model. The record is from RNAcentral.